Molecule: ribosomal RNA, 345 nt
Filed under: uncultured eukaryote
Lineage: Eukaryota
Description: SSU rRNA
Rfam family: Eukaryotic small subunit ribosomal RNA
Source: RNAcentral
AUAGCGUAUAUUAAAGUUGUUGCAGUUAAAAAGCUCGUAGUUGAACCUUGGGUCUGGCUGCUCGGUCCGCCUAACCGCGUGCACUGAUGCGGCCGGUCCUUUCCUUCUGGCUAACCUCAUGCUCUUAAUUGGGUGUGUUGGGGAUCCAGGACUUUUACUUUGAAAAAAUUAGAGUGUUCAAAGCAGGCCUAUGCUCGAAUACAUUAGCAUGGAAUAAUAGAAUAGGACGGCGGUUCUAUUUUGUUGGUUUCUAGAGCCACCGUAAUGAUUAAUAGGGAUAGUCGGGGGCAUCAGUAUUCAAUUGUCAGAGGUGAAAUUCUUGGAUUUAUUGAAGACUAACUACUG